CUCUUGACUCGAUUGAUGGCAUAACCAUAGGUUCGCUUGAUGAUGUUCCCAGUGGUGCUGUCACCUCAUUUUUCAAGUCUAUAAGGAACACCUUGGAUUUUGAUUUUGAAGAUGAUAAUGAAGGUCGUUGGCAGUCCAAUGAACCACCAUCCCUUUAUGUAUUUAUUAAUUGUAGCACACGUGAACUUUCUGCUAUAGAGAAGUAUGUGGAAAAAUUUGCCACUUCAACCCCA
Molecule: unclassified non-coding RNA, 233 nt
Filed under: Hevea brasiliensis (rubber tree)
Lineage: Eukaryota; Viridiplantae; Streptophyta; Magnoliopsida; Malpighiales; Euphorbiaceae
Source: RNAcentral